Molecule: long non-coding RNA, 389 nt
Filed under: Pongo abelii (Sumatran orangutan)
Lineage: Eukaryota; Metazoa; Chordata; Mammalia; Primates; Hominidae
Description: lincRNA
Source: RNAcentral
GGAAGUCUGGGUGCCUCCUGUCCAGGGUAUAAGCCCUUGAAGGAGCUUUGGAGGGGGAAGGAGCAGGUGUUGCCUGUCGUCCCAGGUCUUCACAGGGCAGGAGUGUGCCUGGUGGUGUGGACCUGGGGCCUCCCCAGGGAAGAGGGUCGGGGAUCAGCAGUGAGAGGAGGAAGAGCUAUGAGUCUGGAAUGAAGAGAUGAGAAGCUGGAGCUUCUGAUGUGAAAAAUAACCCUUCAGCCACAGCUGCAUCACCAGGCACAGGACUGCAUCCUGUGGUUCACCUAGAAUUCUUGACCAAGGCAUCAUCAUGGUGUCCUCCCUCCCUCCCUCCCCGUGUUCUCUCCUGGCCCCCCUGCCAUCUGCUACCCAAUCUCCAGUAGCCCAGCCAC